CCCCUUGUUCCCAAUAACACAGGCUUGCCAAAAAAGAAAAGUAAUUUAAAAUAUAGAUCUCGAUUCAUUGUCUCUGAUUACUAGAUAACCGUAAGUCUUAUACAAAAUGAUUCCAGCAGUAUGUGGUAUUUAUUUACAUCCAACCCUUGUUCCAAAAAUAGCUGGGUAUGUCUUAGGGGAAUAUGUAGAGUACAGCCAGCUAAAAAUAAACACCAUAGGGAAACUGCUGCCAAGGAGGAAAAGAGGACAGGAAAAUCAGCCUAUUUAAAGAACCCACAGUAGGAUGUCAUGGAAAGGGAAAAGAAGCAUCACUAUUCCAAAAAGAAUCUUCUGGAUGAAUCAUCAUAUACCAAAAGCUCCACUCGGUGACGGGCAGGCACAGAGGGAUAAAGCUCGACCAGCGUCAGAGGAAUCAAUGCUAUCACCUUAGCAGAGGGCUGUUUAGCAUGUGUAUGUGAGUAUUUGUCAUGCAUUCUGAUAUUGAUAACCCAUUUCCAUACCGUUCUCCUUAACAAGUAAUUGAAGAGGGAUACAAAGAUAUACAUAGAAAGUGCCCUGCAGCACUCUUUCUAAGACGGAGCCAACCACAGGUUAAUCGGAGGAGAUGAUUUAAGCACACUAUGCUUCACCCGUGUAAACCAGCACUCUACUGGAAUUAUAAGUGAUGGUGUAAAAGUCUAUGGACAUGGCACAAGGUCGGCAUUUCCUCAGCCAUCUGAAAAAAACAGCAAUCUUUUUUAAAGUAGGAAGGAGAGGAGGAGGAGCAGCCAUCAGGGAGCACCGGAAGCCGGCGCCCAGGAAGCUCUGGUCACACAAGGUGCCGGCACCUGUCCCGCAGAGGCUUCUGUGUGGCCACCGAAUCCCGCUGACUGCUACACUUUAGUGACACACGUUACUGAAGAAGAGAAAGGGAACCAGCUGCAGCAAAAUUCAUCAUUUGUCUAUAUUAUCUUUACGGCUGGGGCCCGCCCGAAGGUGCUUCUGAGAGCAAAUAUUAUCCUUUCUACACUUAAAAUGCAUCUAGAAAAUGCAGCAACUGUGCCUUCUUCCACCUUGGCUCUGUCAGUGCCUCCAUUUUCUCAUUUUCUAAAUAAAAUGUACAACUAUUAGUUCACAAAGGCAAUGUUGUCUGUUUCAAGCACAGAAAUUGUCAUCAAAAUGUACCAUUACAAGGUGUCCCUCUCACUCACUCAGUUUUGCAUCUGAG
Molecule: long non-coding RNA, 1207 nt
Filed under: Chinchilla lanigera (long-tailed chinchilla)
Lineage: Eukaryota; Metazoa; Chordata; Mammalia; Rodentia; Chinchillidae
Description: lncRNA (ENSCLAG00000029307.1)
Source: RNAcentral